This is a non-coding RNA of Phrynosoma platyrhinos (Desert horned lizard), 72 nucleotides long. NCBI's taxonomy places the organism in Eukaryota, Metazoa, Chordata, Lepidosauria, Squamata, Phrynosomatidae. The record is from the annotation of a GenBank genome assembly.
GUAUAUGUGGUGUAGUGGUUUCAGCAUAGGACUAGGAAUUUGGAGAUCAGGGUUCAAUUGCCUGCUUGGCCA